RNAcentral lists this ribosomal RNA (497 nucleotides) under uncultured bacterium. RNAcentral describes it as "partial 16S ribosomal RNA". It matches the Rfam family "Bacterial small subunit ribosomal RNA", at positions 28 to 507 of the family's 1533-position model. The record is from RNAcentral.
GAUGAACGCUGGCGGCGUGCCUAAUACAUGCAAGUCGAGCGAACGGACGAGAAGCUUGCUUCUCUGAUGUUAGCGGCGGACGGGUGAGUAACACGUGGAUAACCUACCUAUAAGACUGGGAUAACUUCGGGAAACCGUAGCUAAUACCGGAUAAUAUUUUGAACCGCAUGGUUCAAAAGUGAAAGACGGUCUUGCUGUCACUUAUAGAUGGAUCCGCGCUGCAUUAGCUAGUUGGUAAGGUAACGGCUUACCAAGGCAACGAUGCAUAGCCGACCUGAGAGGGUGAUCGGCCACACUGAGACUGAGACACGGUCCAGACUCCUACGGGAGGCAGCAGUAGGGAAUCUUCCGCAAUGGGCGAAAGCCUGACGGAGCAACGCCGCGUGAGUGAUGAAGGUCUUCGGAUCGUAAAACUCUGUUAUUAGGGAAGAACAUAUGUGUAAGUAACUGUGCACAUCUUGACGGUACCUAAUCAGAAAGCCACGGCUAACUACGUG